Molecule: ribosomal RNA, 377 nt
Filed under: uncultured bacterium
Lineage: Bacteria
Description: bacterial SSU rRNA
Rfam family: Bacterial small subunit ribosomal RNA
Source: RNAcentral
AUUGAACGCUGGCGGCAUGCCUUACACAUGCAAGUCGAACGGCAGCACGGGAGCAAUCCUGGUGGCGAGUGGCGAACGGGUGAGUAAUAUAUCGGAACGUGCCCAGUCGUGGGGAUAACGUAGCGAAAGCUACGCUAAUACCGCAUACGAUCUAUGGAUGAAAGCGGGGGAUCGCAAGACCUCGCGCGAUUGGAGCGGCCGAUAUCAGAUUAGGUAGUUGGUGAGGUAAAGGCUCACCAAGCCGACGAUCUGUAGCUGGUCUGAGAGGACGACCAGCCACACUGGGACUGAGACACGGCCCAGACUCCUACGGGAGGCAGCAGUGGGGAAUAUUGGACAAAUGGGCGCAAGCCUGAUCCAGCCAUGCCGCGUGUGUG